RNAcentral lists this ribosomal RNA (257 nucleotides) under uncultured Scutellospora. Its description in RNAcentral is "partial 18S ribosomal RNA". It matches the Rfam family "Eukaryotic small subunit ribosomal RNA", at positions 624 to 886 of the family's 1831-position model. Lineage: Eukaryota; Fungi; Glomeromycota; Glomeromycetes; Diversisporales; Gigasporaceae. The record is from RNAcentral.
AAGCUCGUAGUUGAAUUUCGGGGUUCUACCGUUGGUCGGGCUAACCAGUCUGUACUAGCGUGUAGAAUUCCUACCUUCUGGGGAACCAUCAUGUUAUUAAUUUAGCGUGGUGGGAAACCAGGACCUUUACCUUGAAAAAAUUAGAGUGUUCAAAGCAGGCUUACGUCUGAAUACAUUAGCAUGGAAUAAUAAAAUAGGACGGUGGUCCUGUUUUGUUGGUUUCUGAAUCACCGUAAUGAUUAAUAGGGAUAGUUGGG